UGCCCGGUAGCUAAAUGCGGAAAAGAUAAGUGCUGAAAGCAUCUAAGCACGAAACUUGCCCCGAGAUGAGUUCUCCCUGAGACUUAGAGUCUCCUGAAGGAACGUUGAAGACGACGACGUUGAUAGGCCGGGUGUGUAAGCGCAGCGAUGCGUUGAGCUAACCGGUACUAAUGAACCGUGAGGCUUAACCUUACAACGCCGAAG
This 204-nucleotide ribosomal RNA is filed under the name Salmonella enterica. RNAcentral describes it as "partial 23S ribosomal RNA". It matches the Rfam family "Bacterial large subunit ribosomal RNA", at positions 2739 to 2925 of the family's 2925-position model. The record is from RNAcentral. Lineage: Bacteria; Pseudomonadati; Pseudomonadota; Gammaproteobacteria; Enterobacterales; Enterobacteriaceae. RNAcentral also lists the same sequence under 3 other names.